This 775-nucleotide ribosomal RNA is filed under the name uncultured bacterium. RNAcentral's name for it is "bacterial SSU rRNA". It matches the Rfam family "Bacterial small subunit ribosomal RNA", at positions 70 to 854 of the family's 1533-position model. The record is from RNAcentral.
UUCGGCUGAUUUCUAAGAUGGACAGCGGCGAAAGGGAGAGUAAUGAGUGGAUUACCUACCCCCAGGACCGGGAUAGCUGUGGGAAACCGCAGGUAAUACCGGAUAAUAUCUCCGGAUCAAAUGGUGAGAUUCCGCCAGGGGAUGGGUCCGCUUCCUAUUAGCUUGUUGGUGGGGUAACGGCCUACCAAGGCAACAAUGGGUACCGGGUGUGAGAGCAUGGCCCGGCUCACUGGGACUGAGACACUGCCCAGACACCUACGGGUGGCUGCAGUCGAGAAUCUUCCGCAAUGGGCGAAAGCCUGACGGAGCGACGCCGCGUGCGGGAUGAAGGCCUUCGGGUUGUAAACCGCUGUCAGUUGGGAGGAAAUCUAUGGGGGUUAUCCCCCAUAGUUGACCUAUCUUCAGAGGAAGGACGGGCUAAGUUCGUGCCAGCAGCCGCGGUAAGACGAACCGUCCAAACGUUAUUCGGAAUCACUGGGCUUAAAGGGUGCGUAGGCGGCUUGGCAAGUUGGGUGUGAAAUCCCUCGGCUCAACCGAGGAACUGCGCUCAAAACUGCCAAGCUAGAGGAAGAUAGAGGUGAGCGGAACUAAUGGUGGAGCGGUGAAAUGCGUUGAUAUCAUUAGGAACACCUGUGGCGAAAGCGGCUCACUGGGUCUUUUCUGACGCUGAGGCACGAAAGCUAGGGUAGCGAACGGGAUUAGAUACCCCGGUAGUCCUAGCUGUAAACGAUGAGCACUAGGUUGGAGGCUCCUCCAUAGUUUCCGACCGAAGCGA